GGAACAUCACAACCUGUGGGACAGAGUCACCUCCCCCCCACCCACCUCUUGCUCAUGUGCUCGGCUGAAUCCUGAUGGUUUUAUUGUCUUGCACAUGUGACCUGAAGAAGGAUGUACUUCCUAAGGAAAGAGUGGACCUGCAGGUCUGACCAGCUCCCAGCUCAGGACUGACCUGAGAACUAAUGGUUAAACUUCUGCUAAGUUGGUGGUUUAUUUGCAUAAAAAGGAAAUUAAUGACA
Long non-coding RNA from Nannospalax galili (Upper Galilee mountains blind mole rat), 239 nucleotides. RefSeq lists it as uncharacterized. The record is from RefSeq and is a predicted model, not a curated record. Lineage: Eukaryota; Metazoa; Chordata; Mammalia; Rodentia; Spalacidae. The transcript is spliced from 2 exons.